This 497-nucleotide ribosomal RNA is filed under the name uncultured bacterium. Its description in RNAcentral is "partial 16S ribosomal RNA". It matches the Rfam family "Bacterial small subunit ribosomal RNA", at positions 28 to 507 of the family's 1533-position model. The record is from RNAcentral.
GAUGAACGCUGGCGGCGUGCCUAAUACAUGCAAGUCGAGCGAACGGACGAGAAGCUUGCUUCUCUGAUGUUAGCGGCGGACGGGUGAGUAACACGUGGAUAACCUACCUAUAAGACUGGGAUAACUUCGGGAAACCGGAGCUAAUACCGGAUAAUAUUUUGAACCGCAUGGUUCAAAAGUGAAAGACGGUCUUGCUGUCACUUAUAGAUGGAUCCGCGCUGCAUUAGCUAGUUGGUAAGGUAACGGCUUACCAAGGCAACGAUGCAUAGCCGACCUGAGAGGGUGAUCGGCCACACGGGAGCUGAGACACGGUCCUGACGCCUACGGGAGGCAGCAGUAGGGAAUCUGCGGCAGUGGGCGAAAGCCUGACGGAGCAACGCCGCGUGAGUGAUGAAGGCCUUCGGAGCGUAAAACUCUGUUAUGGGGGAAGAACAGAUGUGUAAGUAGCUGUGCACAUCGUGACGGUACCUAAUCAGGAAGCAACGGCUAACUACGUG